GAACACUAUAAACAAAACGUUUCUGACUUAACGCUCUUUGAUCAACAUGAAGGCAACCACGAUGCUCGUCGGUUUGUUUCUUGUACUGACUGCACUUUGGCAAUAUGCAGAUGCCAAAGCAUGUCAACAUGGUUUUGUCAGUUACCAAAACAGCUGUUACUGGUUUUCACCCAAAUCGACGGUCGCAUCAUGGAUAGAAGCACAAGGAUAUUGUGAACGCAUGAAUUCCUACCUUGUUAUUAUUACGACAGCCCGAGAAAAUAGCUUCAUCCGGGGACAUUUGUUAAGAAAAGCAAAGGGUAAAAAAUUGUAUAUAUAUAUAUUUAGUCACAAAGUGAAUACUGAAUGACGCUAGGCUUAUAUUUUGAGAUUGAUUUCUGACACCCGAUAGCCGAUUUUUCUUGUCAGGUAACAACCUCUUGUUGUUGUUGUUGUCGUUGUUGUUGUUGUUGUUGUUCUCUCUCUCUCUCU
This is a long non-coding RNA of Gigantopelta aegis, 471 nucleotides long. RefSeq lists it as uncharacterized. The transcript is spliced from 3 exons. Lineage: Eukaryota; Metazoa; Mollusca; Gastropoda; Neomphalida; Peltospiridae. The record is from RefSeq and is a predicted model, not a curated record.